CAGGAGACCACUUGAUGUGACAAGGCUCACUGACUCUGAGCUCCAGGUAUGCAGAGUGGGUCCAGUUGGUGGAGGUCUGCCAGGCUGUCAUGUUUCAGUUCCAUCUCCAUCAUCACUGUGAGUCUGCAUCCUUCCUACCCCCAGCAGGGAUGAGGCCACAAUCACCCCAUAUGGGAAUGAAUGUGUCUAUAUCUUCCAGCCUCUCUCUUUCUUUCUCUUUUAUUUAAAGUGGGAAACUGGGGCUAGGGGUGUAGCUCAGAGGCACAGUGCUUGCCUACCAUGUGCAAAGGCAUGGGUUCAAACAUCAUACAGAUAAAUAAAUAAACAGUGAGAAAUCAGCAUCUUGCCUGCAAAGCCAUGCAAAUCACUUGCCACAACCAAAGAUCCUGAUCCAGCAGAUGGGAUAGGUGAGUCAUCUCAAACACAUAAAUUGAGGCAAAGUCAAGGCUAUAUUGGAGUCUGAAAAUUGAAGCUAUCAGGACCUGCCUCUCAACCUAUUUCUGUGACUCAAAGAAGGGCAACAAACUGCAUCUGUUCAAUCCUGACCUUGGAGUGGUGCCAUCACAGACUUUCCUAAGCCAAGGACCUUGAUCCUGCUGUGUUGAAUCAUCUGGCACUCAGCUUGGGUACUUGUUCCAGCCCUAAUAGAAAGGCAUAAAGUGCUUUGCACAGAAUAAUUCAUUUUGGGGAAGAAAGCACACACAGGGUAAGAAAUUCCCUAAGGAUAAUGUAUAUCUAAGAAAUUAAAGUAUGUGAACUGUAACUUCAGCCACAUUUUAGAAAAUUGUUCAAUAUUUUUGCCAAAACCUUGUAGUAUGUGGGGGCCUCUCUAUAUGAGGAUGACUUACUAUUUUAGAUUUUAAAAGCCAUGCCUGUUAAGGAAAAACACAAACAAAAAAAUCCCACCCAAAUUUGUCAUUCCUCAUUCUGUAUUCUUUAUUCACUUUUUCAAGCUAAUCUCUUUUGUUGUAUAAUCUGAUUGUUAACUAGUCAUGGAACAGUAAAUAAAUGCCUGUUUAAUAAAGAACUCUGACCAAGGUUAAAAAAAGUUCCCUAAGGCUGGAAAGCAGGCAAGAGGUAGAAUCAGGGGCCAAACCCAGUGUGGUUAUAGAACUUCUGUUUUCAGCACUAUGUUACCUGCCUCAGAGAGAUGUGGAGACACAGAUUUAUUGGUUCAAGUGUUUGAAUAUAAACUGAAUGCCCAGUA
Heterocephalus glaber (naked mole-rat) is the source of this 1207-nucleotide non-coding RNA. The record is from RefSeq and is a predicted model, not a curated record. NCBI's taxonomy places the organism in Eukaryota, Metazoa, Chordata, Mammalia, Rodentia, Bathyergidae.